This is a non-coding RNA of Triticum aestivum (bread wheat), 82 nucleotides long. Lineage: Eukaryota; Viridiplantae; Streptophyta; Magnoliopsida; Poales; Poaceae. The record is from Rfam.
AAUAACCAAAUAUAACACUAGGACUAAGGGUCAAAUUGGUAAUUUUUCUUACAUCUCCCCCCCAGGGGCCCAGGUAUCAUGU